AGAGUUUGAUCAUGGCUCAGAACGAACGUUGGCGGCGUGCUUAACACAUGCAAGUCGAACGAGAAAGUUUCCUUCGGGAAGCGAGUAAAGUGGCGCACGGGUGAGUAACGCGUAGAUAACCUGUCCAGAUGUCCGGGAUAGCCCAUCGAAAGGCGGAUUAAUACCGGGUAUCUUGUUUUAACCUAAGUUGAACCAAGAAAGGUGGCCUCUAUUUAUAAGCUAUCGCAUUUGGAGGGGUCUGCGUACCAUUAGUUUGUUGGUGGGGUAACGGCCUACCAAGACUACGAUGGUUAGCGGGUCUGAGAGGAUGAUCCGUCACACUGGCACUGAAACACGGGCCAGACUCCUACGGGAGGGAGCAGUGAGGAAUAUUGCGCAAUGGGGGAAACCCUGACGUAGCGACGCCGCGUGAGUGAGGAAGGCCUUCGGGUCGUAAAGCUCUGUCAGAAGGGAAGAAAUGAUUGCAGGUUAAUACCCUGUAUUCUUGACGGUACCUUCAAAGGAAGCACCGGCUAACUCCGUGCCAGCAGCCGCGGUAAUACGGAGGGUGCAAACGUUGUUCGGAAUCACUGGGCGUAAAGGGCGC
This 586-nucleotide ribosomal RNA is filed under the name uncultured bacterium. Its description in RNAcentral is "bacterial SSU rRNA". It matches the Rfam family "Bacterial small subunit ribosomal RNA", at positions 8 to 570 of the family's 1533-position model. The record is from RNAcentral.